RNAcentral lists this unclassified non-coding RNA (241 nucleotides) under plant metagenome. RNAcentral describes it as "partial contains small subunit ribosomal RNA, internal transcribed spacer 1, and 5.8S ribosomal RNA". The record is from RNAcentral.
UUUCCGUAGGUGAACCUGCGGAAGGAUCAUUAAAGAGUAAGGGUCUUCGGGCCCGAUCUCCAACCCUUUGUUUAACUACCAUGUUGCUUUGGCGGGCCCGUCUCACGACCGCCGGAAGUUUGGCUUCGACCAAACUUCUGGCCCGUGCCCGUCAGUGGCCCCUUCAAAUUCUUGAUCAAGUUUGAUGUCUUAGUUAAAAACUUAAUAGUUAAAACUUUCAACAACGGAUCUCUUGGUUCUG